Molecule: ribosomal RNA, 504 nt
Filed under: uncultured bacterium
Lineage: Bacteria
Description: bacterial SSU rRNA
Rfam family: Bacterial small subunit ribosomal RNA
Source: RNAcentral
CAGAUGAACGCUGGCGGCAGGCCUAACACAUGCAAGUCGAACGGUAACAGGAAGAAGCUUGCUUCUUGCUGACGAGUGGCGGACGGGUGAGUAAUGUCUGGGAAACUGCCUGAUGGAGGGGGAUAACUACUGGAAACGGUAGCUAAUACCGCAUAACGUCGCAAGACCAAAGAGGGGGACCUUCGGGCCUCUUGCCAUCGGAUGUGCCCAGAUGGGAUUAGCUAGUAGGUGGGGUAACGGCUCACCUAGGCGACGAUCCCUAGGCUGGUCUGAGAGGAUGACCAGCCACACUGGAACUGAGACACGGUCCAGACUCCUACGGGAGGCAGCAGUGGGGAAUAUUGCACAAUGGGCGCAAGCCUGAUGCAGCCAUGCCGCCGUGUAUGAAGAAGGCCUUCGGGUUGUAAAGUACUUUCAGCGGGGAGGAAGGGAGUAAAGUUAAUACCUUUGCUCAUUGACGUUACCCGCAGAAGAAGCACCGGCUAACUCCGUGCCAGCCGCCGC